CACACUGCACCACCCUGACAGUGGUUUAUGCUGCAUCUUAGGAAUGUCAUAUUUCCUAUGAUGACCAACUGCACUGCUCCACAGCUGUAUGUGACACAGACCACAUAUUGCAGGAAUGGAGAGUUCCUAAACCUAUAACUUCAAGACAUGAAAGAGAUGGCAAAUCCCUUGGCUCAUUUCUAGUAAAAUUCUCUUUUCCCUG
This is a long non-coding RNA of Corapipo altera (White-ruffed manakin), 202 nucleotides long. RefSeq lists it as uncharacterized. The record is from RefSeq and is a predicted model, not a curated record. NCBI's taxonomy places the organism in Eukaryota, Metazoa, Chordata, Aves, Passeriformes, Pipridae. The transcript has 2 exons.